RNAcentral lists this ribosomal RNA (578 nucleotides) under uncultured bacterium. Its description in RNAcentral is "partial 16S ribosomal RNA". It matches the Rfam family "Bacterial small subunit ribosomal RNA", at positions 355 to 932 of the family's 1533-position model. The record is from RNAcentral.
UGGGGAAUUUUGGACAAUGGGCGAAAGCCUGAUCCAGCAAUGCCGCGUGUGUGAAGAAGGCCUUCGGGUUGUAAAGCACUUUUGUCCGGAAAGAAAUCCUUGGCUCUAAUACAGUCGGGGGAUGACGGUACCGGAAGAAUAAGCACCGGCUAACUACGUGCCAGCAGCCGCGGUAAUACGUAGGGUGCAAGCGUUAAUCGGAAUUACUGGGCGUAAAGCGUGCGCAGGCGGUUUGCUAAGACCGAUGUGAAAUCCCCGGGCUCAACCUGGGAACUGCAUUGGUGACUGGCAGGCUAGAGUAUGGCAGGAGGGGGGUAGAAUUCCACGUGUAGCAGUGAAAUGCGUAGAGAUGUGGAGGAAUACCGAUGGCGAAGGCAGCCCCCUGGGCCAAUACUGACGCUCAUGCACGAAAGCGUGGGGGGCAAACAGGAUUAGAUACCCUGGUAGUCCACGCCCUAAACGAUGUCAACUAGUUGUGGGGAUUCAUUCCUUAGUAACGUAGCUAACGCGUGAAGUUGACCGCCUGGGGAGUACGGUCGCAAGAUUAAAACUCAAAUGAAUUGACGGGGUCAUAGCUG